This 85-nucleotide transfer RNA is filed under the name Caudoviricetes sp. Its description in RNAcentral is "tRNA-Ser". It matches the Rfam family "tRNA". Rfam says of the family: Transfer RNA (tRNA) molecules are approximately 80 nucleotides in length. Their secondary structure includes four short double-helical elements and three loops (D, anti-codon, and T loops). The record is from RNAcentral. Lineage: Duplodnaviria; Heunggongvirae; Uroviricota; Caudoviricetes.
GCCAUAGUGGCUGAGUGGUUUAAAGCAACGGACUUGAAAUCCGUCGAGGGUAACACCUCCGUGGGUUCGAAACCUACCUAUGGCG